Molecule: long non-coding RNA, 5859 nt
Filed under: Lactuca sativa (garden lettuce)
Lineage: Eukaryota; Viridiplantae; Streptophyta; Magnoliopsida; Asterales; Asteraceae
Description: long non-coding RNA (LSAT_LNC001277)
Source: RNAcentral
AACCAUGGAUUUGGUUGCUUUCAAACACAGUUUAAGUAUGUAAUUACUUAUGGAACAUAACAUUUUGGCUUUCAAAGAUUCAUUACAAACACAGUUUUACGUAUGGGUUUACUUAUACAAACUAUACAUUUUGGCUUUUAAAGACUCAUUGCAAACACUGUUUUAACUGUUGUUAUACAUACAAAUAUAAUACUUUUUAGACUUAUUAAAAGUAUUACUGUGUUAGCAGAAAACCUGUGACACUCACCAACCUUUGUGUUGACUUUCAAACUUACAUGUAUUCUCAGGGGAUCCUUAGACAAGCGUUCAGGCGGAAGAUUUGUCGUGGAUUUCAGACGACUUAGCUAUCUAGUUUUGAUAUCUGCUUACCUGUUUAAGGCAACUACUGUACUAUUACUAUCUGUAAGAACCUUGUAUUUAAACUUAAUGAUGAAAUACAAAUGCAGUUUUGUUUAUCGUUGUACCUGUGCUAUAUAUUGAGUUUAUCUGUGAUCCAUAAACUUAGUCCCACUCCCGGCGUGUUCCGCCUUGGCCGGGGGUGUGACAGAAUGGUAUCAGAGGUAAAUUGGCUAUAGAGAACUCGUAUCCUCGAAAGAGGAAUACAACUAUAGCAGAAUAGCUUUUAAUAAAAGUAUUAUUAAUAAUAACACUACUUCUUGACUACUUACGUCGUUUGAUGUCUGGCCAUCGUCUGUGCUUGGUAGUCAGGAAGAACAAACAAAAAUUAAUAAUACUACAAACCCCACCAACCAUAAUAUAUAAGAGUUUAUAUAUACUCUGACCCGUGCACAACCAACCCUAAGCAAGGAGUCUAACAGACUACAACGGUUGAAUGUUUUAGAGAUUGAAGGAUGUUCUCCAGAUUCGCUACAACAACCUAGUACCUUAGAAUCCAUACAUACAUUUUAAAACACUUACAAUUCAUUAGCAAUUAAGGUCCCCUUUCUAUCCUUUAGAAAUCUAGAGGAUUUCUAAACCAAGCACCUUUUCCUUAUCAUUUGGAAAUCUAGAGGAUUUCUAAAUCAAUCCUCUUUUUUCUUAUAAUUUAUAGGAUUUCACAAGCAAACUAUAUCAUAAAAUGCAUCCCAUGCAUACUUGUUAGGAAUUUAUAGUAUUAACAAAACUUAACAUGUCAAUUUUAAACAUAUUAGGAAAUAGCCCCACGAAAGCAACUAGGAGUUCGUCCACCGCCAACUCCCCGAGGCAACCCGAGGAGAACCCCACCAGUAACUCAAACAUCAGUGGAAACGCCAAACCAGGGAGGAGACCCAGAAGUAACAAAUGUAAACCAAACAUUCCAAAUGAAUUCCGCCAUGAUGCAGAACAUGCUCACAGAAGGAAUUGCUACGACUUUGGUAGCAUAAGAGGCAGCCCGAAAUGGAAACAUUGGAAAUAGUGGAAGUGGCACUACCGCAAUUCACCAAAACAACCCUAGACACUGCUCUUAUAAGGAUUUCAUGGGUUGCAAACCUCGAUCCUUCUACGGCACUGAAGGAGCUGUUGGUCUGGCCCGUUGGAUAGAAAAGACUGAGGCAGUCUUUCACAUCAGUGCUUGCCCCGAUGACUGUAGGGUUAAGUAUGCUACCUGCACGUUGAUGGACUCCGCCUUAACUUGGUGGAAUAACCAUGCGAAGUCCAUGGGAAUCGCUGAAGCUUAUGCCAUGGGCUGGGAAUCACUGAAGCAACUAAUGACCAAGGAGUAUUGUCCCCGACAGGAGAUACAGGCUCUAGAGCAAGAGCUUUGGAACCUUGUCAUGAAAGGAUCAGAAGUAGCUGCCUACACCUCUCGAUUCAAUGACCUUGCAAACCUUUGCCCAGGAAUGGUGACCCCGGAAGACAGGAAGAUUGAAAGGUACAUCUGGGGCCUAGCUUCACCUGUUCAAGGUCUGGUGACGGCAUCCAAACCCUCCACUUUCGAUAGUGCUAAGCAAUUAGCCUAUCAGUUGACUGGACAGUGUGUCCGGCAGGGUACCAUGAACCCACCGGCAGAGAAGAAGAACACUGGAGGCACCAAAAGGAAGUUUCAUGGGGAAACAAAGGAGGACUCCAACCAUCACAAGGUUGAACCAGAACCAUUAGCUGUCUACGCCGCAGUUACCAACACUCCCACACCAACUAAGUCCUACUAUGGGACUUUACCUCAUUGUAUAAAGUGCAAUUUCCAUCAUGUCGGAAAUUGCAGGGAGGUGAUCUGCAACAAGUGUAACAUGAGAGGUCACAUCUCGAGGUACUGUAGAAGAAACCCAACCACUACGGCAGAAGGAAUUCGUAACUGUUACGAGUGCAAUCAGCCAGGGCAUUUUAGGAAGGACUGCCCACAACUAAAGAACCAAGGUGGCAAUGGAAGGGUACUUAUGAUCACAGCAGGAGAGGCUCUUCCGGAACCACCUGUGGUUAUUGGUACGUUUCAUAACAACAAUGUUUAGGCCUCGGUAUUUAUUAAUACUAGUGCCAAUUAAAGUUUUAUCGACCAUAGGUUUCAAAACGCGACUAAACAUGAAACCUAUGCAGUAGCUAUAACAAAAAUUACUUGCUAGUUGCCUUAUCACUCUAGUUAAUCAUGCCAUUCACAUAAAAACUAAGGACCCUUGCUGGUAAUCUAUGCUUGCUAAGUGUAUACGUUAGGGUUGUAUAUAAUUAAGAUUCUACAAACUUAGGAUUCGUGAUUCCGCUUUACUUCCUGUUCCUUGUUUGGUUGUGGGCUUAGGGUAGAAUCACUUAUUCGACUGUCUAUUCGAUAUUGAUUAUAUACGACUUGUAUACACCAAGGGAAUGUAGAAGGACCAGCCAGGGAUCAUGCACCACGUAAGUACAUUACUAUUUAUCGAUAUGGCAAAAGUACUCCCUAGUUGCUUUCUCACCCGAAUUAAUCACAUCAUUCAUAUAGAAACUAAAAACUCUUGCUGGUAAUAUAUGAUUACUAAGUGUAUACGUUAGGGUUGUAUAUAAUUAAGAUUAUGAGGACUUAGGAUUUGUGAUUCUGCGUUAAUUCCUGUUUCUUGUUUGGUUGUGGGCUUAGAGUAGAAUCACUUAUUCGAUUGUCUACUCAAUCUUGAUUAUAUACGACUUGUAUGCACAAGGCGAUAUAGAAGGACCAGGCAUGGAUCAUACCACGAAAGUAUAUUAUUAUUUAUCAAAGCCCUUGUACUACCAGUACCAACUCAAUUUCGGGACGAAAUUUCCUUUAACGGGGAGGUAAUGUGACAACCCGGAAUUUAGGGCUACUAUUAUACAAUCUAUCCGUGAAUCUCUUGUUUAUCCGAAUUACUAAUUUUUAAUGCAUCUGAAGUAAAACAAAUAAUUUUAUUCCAAUUAUUAUAUGAUGUCAUAUGAUACAUUGCUUCCGAGUGUGUAAAUUGUCAACAAAAUCAAACCGCUUAAAUGACAACGUUAAUCAAUACGUCUCAAAAACUGAAAUUUUGCAUUAAGCAGUUUUGAGAAAAACAAACAUUAAAAUAUUAUAUUACAUGUUCCCCUGUUUCCGAAAAUAUAAAGAACGUCCAAAACGGAGUUCAUGUGCAAAAGAUACGACAUUUUUAAGAAAACAGACAGUAAAACACUGUUUUUCUUUAAUCGCGUAAAACUGAAUCGAUCCGUUGAGGCACUUCCGCUUUGCCGACGGGAUUUCCGAGAGCGUUUUCGUACUCAGGCUAUAGUCUAUUAUUUAAUUUCACACUCAAAAUAUUUUUAAUAAAGAUAUUUACAAAAGUCGCGAAAACGGACACCGCGGGCCGUUUAGACGCAAAACCUUCAAACGCAAUUUCCCGGAGUUCCGUAACUCCAAAAAUUAAUCCGUUUGAUGAUCUAGAAUCCUUGAAUUAAACUCUAUCCAAUGGUACUUUCAAAAAAAAUUAUUGACUUUUGGAUCUCGAUAAACCCGAUUUAGAGUGUUUUUAAGUAGUUAAUGGGGGUGUAACCACAUGUGGGGGCCACUAGGCUUAUGAGAAGCAAAAAAAAAAUCACAGCUCAUUUCUCCUUGUACUCCCCACGUGACCUUGGCCUUCUUUCUUGCUUGCACACCUCACUAACAUAGUACAAGGAAUGGCUCUCCAAAGGAUGUGUGAGACCCUUCAAGCUAUAAAUAGAAGGCUCAAGACCCUCUUCCAUUCAUCAAUUCGUCAGCCAUCUUCCCUUCGUCUCUCUCAAUCUCGAUCUUCUACCUAAAAUCUCUCUCUCUCAUUCCCGGUUUCAAAUUUACCCCACUGCCACCCCAUUAUUCCCAUUGGGAAAACAACCUCUACCACCCUCCCUUGCUGUUGUGUGCUACUUAAUAACCUGCCCCACCCUCCUCUUCAUCAGAAUCUGCCGGAGGAAGCAAGGAAAACGAAGGCACUCAAAGACCACCACCUCGUCACCAACCUUCUGCCACAGUGAAAAUCACCAGCCACCACCGUCCUUCACUCCUGCUAAUGCUUCGAAGCUAAAUAAAUCUCGAUGAUUCGUAUUCGCGGCAAUACAACUUGCUUUUUCUCGCAACAAUUACUCGACAACCGGUGAGUGUAACGGCCCCACUUUUACAUAUUUUCGGGGGGGAAUACAUGUGGUACUUCUAUAUCCAGUAUAUAUCUAUUUUAUAAAUACUUUUUUUAAACAAACAACACCACCAUUUUUUAUGCAAUAUAAAUCACACGGAAAUAGUAUUUAUUACGCUACUAUUUACGGUACGGGGAAUCUGGUUUGAAGGGCCGAAUGGGUUGCUGGAUUUCAGAAGUGCUAAAAUGCCAAAAUGGUCAUACCCUCGGUGUUUCAUGUCUGGCCCUCGUCUGUACAUGAUAGUACGUGUACUAAAUAAUAUUUAUCAUACGAAAUACACAAAAAAAAUAUCAUUGUUUUGUGUAAAUACUUUACCAGUUUUAGAAAUAAUUGUUUAAACGCUUACAUGUUAAGUAAACAAAAAAUGUUUUAAACCUCAAUAGCUACAUAUGUUAUGUUGUUAAAGAUAAUACAACUAAUAAAAAAUAACAUAUACGUUCCAACUAAAACUGUGCUAUGACUGUAUAGCCAGUUAUUAACUUGGUAGUUUCAUUAUACCUCAUACAUACACAAAAAUAUAUAAGUUUAUAUAUUUUACGAGUUAUAGAGCUCGUAUCUUAGACUCAUGUAUAUGCUUGUACUCAAAGUUUUAUCAAUUGUUUAAAAAAGUAUCGUACUCUUCAAUGUGUACGCUUAUCAAGUAUACUUGUUAAUUACCUGUUUAUCCGUAUCUGCGGUUGUUAAGUUCAACAUUGGCAGAUAACUUUAUCCGUAUAUCCGUAUGUCUGUUUAUGACAUAAAUAUAUAGGUUUAUACAUUUAUACAAGUUAUAGAACUUGUAUCUUAGGCUCAUACAUGUGCUUGUGUACACUAUACUAAGUUUUGUCAACUGUUUAAACAAGUAUCGUACACUUUACGUGUAUACUUAUCAAAUAUACUUGUUUUUUUUAUCCGUAUCUACGGUUGUUAAGUUCAACCUUAGCAGAUAACUGUAUCCGUAUAUCCGUAUGUUUGUUUAACCAUAUAUGUGCUUGUUAAGUACAACCUUGGCAGAAAACUUUAUUCGUUACCCGUACAACCAUGGAUUUGGUUGCUUUCAAACACAGUUUAAGUAUGUAAUUACUUAUGGAACAUAACAUUUUGGCUUUCAAAGAUUCAUUACAAACACAGUUUUAUGUAUGGGUUUACAUAUACAAACUAUACAUUUUGGCUUUUAAAGACUCAUUGCAAACACUGUUUUAACUGUUGUUAUACAUACAAAGAUAAUAAUUUUUAGACUUAUUAAAAGUAUUACUGUGUUAGCAGAAAACCUGUGACACUCACCAACCUUUGUGUUGACUUUCAAACUUACAUGUAUUCUCAGGGGAUCCUUAGACAAGCUUUCAG